Molecule: long non-coding RNA, 852 nt
Filed under: Strigops habroptila (Kakapo)
Lineage: Eukaryota; Metazoa; Chordata; Aves; Psittaciformes; Psittacidae
Description: lncRNA (ENSSHBG00005019457.1)
Source: RNAcentral
ACAUUCGCUGCUCUGAGGACCUGCGUGAGGACGUUUCCUGCCGCCGCUGCCUGAAGGGUGGCCCGGCCCGGCUGAGGGGCCCGCUGCCGCCAACGGCCCUGCGGCCGGCGGGAGGUGGCGGCGGGAGGGCAGGUGCUGCCGCGGGCGGGCAGGCAGGCAGCGGCCCCGGUCGAGGUGAUGGGAAGGGAACUCGGUAGAGCCGCGGCCGGCCCGCCGGGAGCGCGGGGGGUGCCUGCGGACCCUGCGGACAGCUCACCGGAGGGAGGACGAGGAAACAAGUUCUCCAAAUUUCAUGGAGGUUUCAUUGCUUGCUCUCUCCUGCUCCCAGCCGACCAACACUGAAAAUAGGAGAAUCACCCCUUCUCUGCAGCCCCAGGAGACUGUUGGAAAUUUAUUCUCUUAUCCUUCAGUGUCAACAAAACCUCAAAAGGCAACCGGCUAAACAGGUGGAACUGAUCUGUGUUGUCCUUCACUGCUUUAACACACCAUAACCUCUGUGUGGGGAAAAACAUCUUUUGUCUUUCACAGCACCCUGUCCCACACAGGUAACAUCAGAUGCCACGUAAAGAUGACAGGAGUGUCACUCAAAUAGUGACAUCCAUGAGGUGCAGUGCGGAGCCCCUAGUCUCACCUUGCAGUGUCCGACUGCAUACUCCCUGCACCCAAGGUGAGUUGUUCCAGACCUGCAGCCUGAAACUUUCAGGUCUCUAUGUCCCCACUGGCAUCAGUACCUGGAGAAGACACAGUUUUCAGAAGGUGAGGAAUUAGCCUGACAGUCCUGACCUUCUUUGUGUGAAACUGCACCUGCUGGGAAUUAGGAGUCUCCAAACUUUAAAAUAAACAAACGGAAAA